CCCCUGAAGGAGGAUGCACGAUCCAGCCGAGCUCCGCCGUCGCCGUGGUGGAAUCCAUCAGCGUCUCUUCCAUGGCGGCGUGGCAGAGGCAGUGGCAGCAGCG
Long non-coding RNA from Pipistrellus kuhlii (Kuhl's pipistrelle), 103 nucleotides. RefSeq lists it as uncharacterized. NCBI's taxonomy places the organism in Eukaryota, Metazoa, Chordata, Mammalia, Chiroptera, Vespertilionidae. The record is from RefSeq and is a predicted model, not a curated record. The transcript has 3 exons.